CAGUAGCCGCGGUAAUACGGAGGGUGCAAGCGUUAAUCGGAAUUACUGGGCGUAAAGCGCACGCAGGCGGUCUGAUAAGUCAGAUGUGAAAUCCCCGGGCUUAACCUGGGAACUGCAUUUGAAACUGGCAGGCUGGAGUCUUGUAGAGGGUGGUAGAAUUCCAGGUGUAGCGGUGAAAUGCGUAGAGAUCUGGAGGAAUACCGGUGGCGAAGGCGGCCCCCUGGACAAAGACUGACGCUCAGGUGCGAAAGCGUGGGGAGCAAACAGGAUUAGAUACCCCGGUAGUCCCUGUCUCUUAUAA
This 301-nucleotide ribosomal RNA is filed under the name uncultured bacterium. RNAcentral's name for it is "partial 16S ribosomal RNA". It matches the Rfam family "Bacterial small subunit ribosomal RNA", at positions 509 to 809 of the family's 1533-position model. The record is from RNAcentral.